RNAcentral lists this ribosomal RNA (522 nucleotides) under Sinosticta ogatai. Its description in RNAcentral is "SSU rRNA". It matches the Rfam family "Eukaryotic small subunit ribosomal RNA", at positions 631 to 1126 of the family's 1831-position model. Lineage: Eukaryota; Metazoa; Arthropoda; Insecta; Odonata; Platystictidae. The record is from RNAcentral.
UAGUCGGAGGUGUGUCUCGGACGGUCGGUUCGCCGCUUGUCGGUGCUCAACUGGCCGGUCCGGACGUCCUGCCGGUGGGGCUGUAAAAGGCCCCGUUAUCCUUCUUUGGUCCUCUUCACCGAGUGCCUUGGUGGGCCGGCACGUUUACUUUGAACAAAUUAGAGUGCUCAAAGCAGGCCGUUGGUCGCCUGAAUACUGUGUGCAUGGAAUAAUGGAAUAGGACCUCGGUUCCAUUUUGUUGGUUUUCAGAACUCGAGGUAAUGAUUAAUAGGGACGGACGGGGGCAUUCGUAUUGCGACGUUAGAGGUGAAAUUCUUGGAUCGUCGCAAGACGAACCGAUGCGAAAGCAUUUGCCAAGAACGUUUUCGUUGAUCAAGAACGAAAGUUAGAGGUUCGAAGGCGAUCAGAUACCGCCCUAGUUCUAACCAUAAACGAUGCCAGCUAGCCAUCCGCCGAAGUUCCUUCUAUGACUCGGCGGGCAGCUUCCGGGAAACCAAAGCUCUUGGGUUCCGGGGGAAGUAU